RNAcentral lists this ribosomal RNA (526 nucleotides) under uncultured haloarchaeon. Its description in RNAcentral is "bacterial SSU rRNA". It matches the Rfam family "Archaeal small subunit ribosomal RNA", at positions 1 to 526 of the family's 1478-position model. Lineage: Archaea; Methanobacteriati; Methanobacteriota; Halobacteria; Halobacteriales; Halobacteriaceae. The record is from RNAcentral.
AUUCCGGUUGAUCCUGCCGGAGGCCAUUGCUAUUGGAGUCCGAUUUAGCCAUGCUAGUCGUACGAGUUCAGACUCGUGGCGAAUAGCUCAGUAACACGUGGCCAAUCUACCCCCACAGCGACGGACACCCUCGGGAAACUGAGGCUAAUCCGUCAUACCCCUCUCACGCUGGAGUGCCGAGAGGCCGAAACGCUCCGGCGCUACGGGAUGAGGCUGCGGCCGAUUAGGUAGACGGUGAGGUAACGGCCCACCGUGCCCAUAAUCGGUACGGGUCGUGAAAGCGAGAGCCCGGAGACGGAAUCUGAGACAAGAUUCCGGGCCCUACGGGGCGCAGCAGGCGCGCAACCUUUACACUGCACGCCAGUGCGAUAAGGGGACUCCAAGUGCGAGGGCAUAUACGUCCUCGCUUUUCUGGACCGUAGGGAGGUACAGGAACAAGGGCUGGGCAAGACCGGUGCCAGCCGCCGCGGUAAUACCGGCAGCCCAAGUGAUGGCCAAUCUUAUUGGGCCUAAAGCGUCCGUAGCU